This 963-nucleotide long non-coding RNA is filed under the name Salvia miltiorrhiza (redroot sage). RNAcentral's name for it is "long non-coding RNA (SMIL_LNC004984)". The record is from RNAcentral. Lineage: Eukaryota; Viridiplantae; Streptophyta; Magnoliopsida; Lamiales; Lamiaceae.
UUUGUUUUCCAAAUUACCCAAUUAACAACAUAAUGUUUUACCAAAUUAUUAAACUUUUUACAAGUCACAUAACACUAGGGCUGUCAAACCUAGCGGGCCGGGCUGGCCCGGCCCAACCCGACGGGCCUAGGCAAUUUUUUGGGUCGGGCCGGCCCAAAAUUUCAGCGGGCCUCUAAUAUUGAAGCCCAGCCCACCAUAGCACGGGCCGCCGGCGGCCGGGUCAAAACGGGCCAAAUUCUUAUAAGUAAAAUUUUAACUUAUUAUAUUUUCAAUAAUUGCGUAUUCACGUUUCCAUCUUGAAUAUUGAUAAAUAAUAAGCAAGUUUAAAAGGUAUUCAUAUUUAAAACAAAAUGCUUUUGAAAAGCAAAAGGUGAAUCAUCAUUCAUCACCUAUUCACGUUUAAAUCAGUAAAUUUUGCUUUUCUUAUUCAUUUUUAUUCUUUAGGUUGAUAGCUAAAUUAGAAAUUAUUUUAAUAUUAAGUACUAUAAUAUUAAAUGACUAAGUGAGGAUUUAAAUCCUAAUUUCAAUUUGCAAUCAGACGACUUUGACAUACUUUUUUUGGACUUGGACUUUUGGAGGAAUAAUGAUUAAUGAAUUUAAAAUAGCCUAUAACUGACAGGCCAAUUUAGGCCCGAAAGCCCAGCGGGCUGUUCGGCCCACGGGCCGCGUGACCCGGCGGGCCACGUGGGUUGGACCUGAGAGGCCCGGUUUUUUUUGGGCCUUGGAAAUCCUAGCCCAGCCCGGCCAAAACUACGGGUGGGCCGGGCUAAUUUCGGCCCAUUUUGACAGCUCUACAUAACACAAACCAUAUUACAUGAUCCUCUUGAACCAGUUUCUGAAAGCUCAAUGGAGAGAGAGAGAAAAAAGAAGAAAGAUUAAAAAAAAUUACAAAAUAAUGUGUCUUUCUAUAUAUACAUAACUCCUACAAGUAUAGUAUGAAGUGUAAUAUUUUACACGUAUUUU